RNAcentral lists this long non-coding RNA (213 nucleotides) under Setaria italica (foxtail millet). RNAcentral's name for it is "long non-coding RNA (SITA_LNC003843)". The record is from RNAcentral. Lineage: Eukaryota; Viridiplantae; Streptophyta; Magnoliopsida; Poales; Poaceae.
UGCCCACUAGCAAGUCAGGUCAUGUCACCUCGUACACUUGGUCCUAAUAAAUUAGGAAAGCGUCGUAAAUUACCGAUGUCGCACAAAGUCAAAUAUUGCAAUCAGCCAAUCACCUUCAGCGCAUAAAAGAAAAAAGAAGUGCAAUUAUGCUGUUGUUCACGAAUUCUACUUUUUCAAAACAUAGUAAAUAUGCAUAGGCUCAUAUCACAUACA